Molecule: long non-coding RNA, 2968 nt
Organism: Cyprinus carpio (common carp)
Lineage: Eukaryota; Metazoa; Chordata; Actinopteri; Cypriniformes; Cyprinidae
Source: Ensembl
UUGUGAUUAUUGGAGGUGCAUUUGUCGUGGUAAUGAGUGUUGCCUGGCUUAGAGCUGGAACUGUAUUUGUGAAAGCAACAGUUGUGCUUGAUAGAGGUGCAGUUGUUAUUGGGAAUGCAGUUGUUGUUGCCACUGAAGGAGUGUUCUUGCUUGAUGUUGUUGGAUCAUUAGUUGUUUUAGAUGUGGUUGAUGAAGCUGUAGUUGCAGUCUCUGCUGUUGUACUUUCUGAAGUUGUAGGCAGUGUUGUUGAAGUAGUAGCUGUGGUCUCUGUACUCACAAGUGUGGUUGUUGGAAUUUCGCUAGUUGACAAUCCUUUAGUUGCUGAUGUUGUUACAGGUGCAGUUGUUUCUGAAGAUGUAGGUAUUGUUGUUGAAGUAAGAGUUGUGGAUUCUGAAGUUACAGCUGUUGAUGUUGCUGGAUUGUUUGUUUUUGUAGAUGUGGUUGAUGAAUCUUUAGUUGUGGUCUCUGCUGUUGUACUUUUUGAAGUUGUAGGAAUUGUUGUUGAAGUAAGUGUUAGGGAUUCUGAAGUUACUACUGUUGAUGUUGUUGGAUUGUUUGUUAUUGUAGAUGUGGUUGAUGAAGCUGUAGUGGUGGUUUCCACUGUUGUAAUUUCUAAAGUUGUAGGCAAUGUUGUUGAAGUAAUAGGUGUGGUCUCUGUACUUACAACUGUGGUUGUGGGAAUUUCUGUAGAUGAGGAAGCUUUAGUUACUGAUGUUGUUACAGGUGCAGUUGUAUCUGAAGAUGUAAGCAUAGUUGUUGAAGUAAGAGUUGUGGAUUCUGAAGUUACUGCUGCUGAUGUUGUUGGAUCAUUUGUUGUUGUAGAUGUGGUUGAUGAAGCUUUAGUUGUAGGCAGUGUUGUUGAAGUAAUGGGUGUGGUUUUGUUCCUCACAACUGUGGUGGUGGGGAUUUCAGUAGAUGAGGAAGCUGUAGUUACUGAUGUUGUCACAGGUGCAGUUGUUUCUGAAGAUGUAGGCAUAGUUGUUGAAGUAAGAGUUGUGGGUUCAGAAGUUACAGCUGUUGAUGUUGUUGGAUCGUUUUUUGUUGUAGAUGUGGUUGAUGAAGCUGCAGUUGUGGUCUCUGCUGUUGUUCUUUCUGAAGUUGUAGGCAGUGUUGUUGAAGUAAUAGUUGUGGUUUCAGUCCUCACAACUGUGGUGGUGGGAAUUUCAGUAGUUGAGGAUGCUGUAGUUACUGAUUUUGUUACAGGUGCGGUUGUUUCUGAAGAUGUAGGCAUUGUUGAUGUAAGAGUUGUGGAUUCUGAAGUUACAGCUGCUGAUGUCGUUGGAUCAUUUGUUGUUGUAGAUGUGGUUGAUGAAGCUGUAGUUGCGGUCUCUGCUGUUGUACUUUCUGAAGUUGUAGGCAGUGUUGUUGAAGUAAUGCGUGUGGUUUCGGUCCUCACAACUGUGUUGGUGGGAAUUUCAGUAGUUGAGGAUGCUGUAAUUACUGAUGUUGUUACAGGUGCAGUUGUUUCUGAAGAUGUAGGCAUUGUUGAAGUAAGAGUUGUCGAUUCUGAAGUUACUGCUGUUGAUGUUGUUGGAUCAUUUGUUGUCGUAGAUGUAGGUGACAAAGCUGUAGUUGUAGGCAGUGUUGUUGAAGUAGUAGUUGUGGUCUCUGUACUCACAACUGUGGUUGUUGGAAUUUCACUAAUUGACAAUCCUUUAGUUGUUGAUAUUGUUACAGGUACAGUUGUUUCUGAAGAUGUAGGUAUUGUUGUUGAAGUUAGAGUUGUGGAUUCUGAAGUUACAGCUGUUGAUGUUGUUGGAUCGUUUGUUGUUGUAGAUGUGGUUGAUGAAGCUAUAGUUGUGGUCUCUGCUGUUGUACUUUUUGAAGUUGUAGGCAGUGUUGUUGAAGUAAUGGCUGUUGUUUCGGUCUUCACAACUGUGGUGGUGGAAAUUUCAGUAGUUGAGGAUGCUGUAGUUGUUGAUGUUGUUACAGGUGCAGUUGUUUCUGAUGAUGUAGGCAUAGUUGUUGAAGUAAGAGUUGUGGAUUCUGAUGUUACAGCUGUUGAUGUUUUUGGAUCGUUUGUUGUAGAUGUAGUUAAUGAAGCUGUAGUUGUGGUUUCCACUGUUUUAACUGUAGCAGUGGAAUGUUCAGUUGUGGCUGUGGAUGCAGUAUUUGUUGUUUCAGCUGCUUUUGUCUUUUCUGAAGACGUAGUCAUGGUUGUUGAAGCAAGUCUUUCUUUAGUUAUAACCAUUGUUGCACCUGAAGAAUCUGAUGAGGUUGGAGCUGGUUUUGCUGAGGUUGAAAUGGCAAGUAUAGUUGUUCUUUCUGAAGCCGUAUAUCCUGAAGUUGAAGACUCCAUUUUUGAAGCACUGGAUUUUAAAAAGAAAAAUAUAAUAAAUUAUAUACCUUUUAAAUUAUUAUUAACUUAAAAAAAAAAAAACAUGUUUGUAUUAGAUUAAAAAAGUAAUGACUAGUGGUGGGCCGUUAUCGGCGUUAACAUGCUGCAUUAACGUGAGACUCUUAUCGGGCGAUAAAAAAAUAUCGCCGUUAAUCUAUACUCAAAGUUGGGUUGGGAGCUGGGUCUACUACACAAGCUAUGAUGAUUUCACCUUGAUGUUUUAGCGCGGAUGUAUAGGCUACCUAGCCGAAGUGCACUGUAGGGGGCGAGAACGAGUCUUCGAACCUGUGUGUAUGCCUACUGUAAAAUUAAUUACCACAUCAAACGUGACGUGCUAAUAUUGAUGCAGCUAUGAACCCGCCGGGUUUGUUUCAGGGGAAAAAAAAAAUAUUUUAAGAAGCUUCCCAAUGGAAACGUCGACAAGACUCACGCCUGGUUCACACUCUGUCUGCAGUGCGUAUGCAGUCCGUGUGUGUGGUGCAAAAGCAGCAUGGACUCAUUGUGCUUUCACACAGGAAGCGUUUGAACUCCGCUACUGAUCCGCGGCUGUUUAGUCCACAAACACAACAUUUGUUCAUUAUUUUAUAUUUCAAAUCAUGUAAAAAUAAAAAUAUUGUGACCCUUUUAUCA